This is a non-coding RNA of Schistosoma curassoni, 37 nucleotides long. NCBI's taxonomy places the organism in Eukaryota, Metazoa, Platyhelminthes, Trematoda, Strigeidida, Schistosomatidae. The record is from Rfam.
AUUGAGUCCCAAAUAGGAUGAAACACGUGUCCUGAAU